Molecule: ribosomal RNA, 247 nt
Filed under: uncultured bacterium
Lineage: Bacteria
Description: partial 16S ribosomal RNA
Rfam family: Bacterial small subunit ribosomal RNA
Source: RNAcentral
UACGGAGGGUGCGAGCGUUGUCCGGAAUCACUGGGCGUAAAGGGCGCGUAGGCGGGCUAGCAAGUCAGGGGUGAAAGCCCACGGCUCAACCGUGGAAGUGCCUUUGAUACUGCCAGUCUGGAGGGAGGUAGGGGCGUGCGGAACUUCCGGUGGAGCGGUGAAAUGCGUAGAUAGUCGGGAAGGAACACCGGUGGCGAAAGCGGCGCGCUGGACCUCUUCGUGACGCUGACGGCGCGAAAGCCAGGGG